RNAcentral lists this ribosomal RNA (253 nucleotides) under uncultured bacterium. RNAcentral describes it as "partial 16S ribosomal RNA". It matches the Rfam family "Bacterial small subunit ribosomal RNA", at positions 524 to 776 of the family's 1533-position model. The record is from RNAcentral.
UACAGAGGGGGCAAGCGUUGUUCGGAAUUACUGGGCGUAAAGGGCGCGUAGGCGGCCUGUUAAGUCGAACGUGAAAUCCCUGGGCUCAACCCAGGAACUGCGUCCGAUACUGGCAGGCUUGAAUUCGGGAGAGGGAUGCGGAAUUCCAGGUGUAGCGGUGAAAUUCGUAGAUAUCGAGAGGAACACCGGUGGCGAAGGCGGCGAUCUGGACGAUGACUGACGCUGAGACGCGAAAGCGUGGGGAGCAAACAGG